GACAUUUGGUAGAGACUGUGAGGCCACCUGGUCCCAGCAGACCCCAGAGAACGGCACAUUCACUGGUGCUGGCACAAGGUCAUUAAGGGUGAAGCCUGGUGCCAGAUGUGU
Panthera pardus (leopard) is the source of this 111-nucleotide ribosomal RNA. Lineage: Eukaryota; Metazoa; Chordata; Mammalia; Carnivora; Felidae. The record is from Ensembl.